CACGUAGGCGGAUUGCUAAGUCAGGGGUGAAAUCCUGGAGCUCAACUCCAGAACUGCCUUUGAUACUGGCGAUCUCGAGUUCGGGAGAGGUGAGUGGAACUGCGAGUGUAGAGGUGAAAUUCGUAGAUAUUCGCAAGAACACCAGUGGCGAAGGCGGCUCACUGGCCCGAUACUGACGCUGAGGUGCGAAAGCGUGGGAGCAAACA
This 206-nucleotide ribosomal RNA is filed under the name uncultured bacterium. RNAcentral's name for it is "partial 16S ribosomal RNA". It matches the Rfam family "Bacterial small subunit ribosomal RNA", at positions 568 to 774 of the family's 1533-position model. The record is from RNAcentral.